RNAcentral lists this long non-coding RNA (605 nucleotides) under Lathyrus oleraceus (garden pea). Its description in RNAcentral is "Pisum sativum (pea) long non-coding RNA (PSAT_LNC029689)". Lineage: Eukaryota; Viridiplantae; Streptophyta; Magnoliopsida; Fabales; Fabaceae. The record is from RNAcentral.
UACUCCACCUUUACAUUGUGUUCUCCUAACAAACACCAUGAAAGUAACCAAACUUUAACAUUAAAAAUAACAGAACAACAACUCAAAGUUUCAAAAUAAAAACGUAACUUCCUCCGUCCCAAUUCGCUUUUCCGACUGUGGAAUCAUCUUCGCCAUAGUAACCUGUUUCUAUUCCUCCAAUCAUGUCACCACCACAGACGUUUCCGGCAAAACCGUUGUAUCAACGUUCGAUCUAAACCACCACCAUUUCGUUAGAGACAGGUUUGGUUUCUUUAUUUUGACUCCAACUUUUCUUUCUUUUUUACUGAAUCAUGAAGUGGGAGAGGAAGAGAUUUUAUUUUCUUUUGAUUUUUUUUUAGAGAAGAGAAAGGGAGAUCGGACGUGAGGGAGAGAGAGUUGAGAAGAAGAGUUUUUUUUUUCAUUCAGAAAACAUGUUUUUAUUUUACCAACUAAUACACAUGUAGAGGAAGAGCAUGAGUUAUUUUUUUGACUUUUUUUAAAAAUAAAAUAAAAAUACCUCUGCCAUGUGUCAAGUUAUAAGUGGUGAUACAUAAAUUUCCAAAAUCACUUCCACUCUCCUCUGUUCAGUUUUUCUACCGUCUCAC